Molecule: ribosomal RNA, 287 nt
Filed under: uncultured bacterium
Lineage: Bacteria
Description: partial 16S ribosomal RNA
Rfam family: Bacterial small subunit ribosomal RNA
Source: RNAcentral
GCUCCUCAUCGGGAGGCAGCAGUGGGAAUCUUAGACAAAUGGGGGAAACCCUGAUCUAGCCAUGCCGCGUGAGCGAUGAAGGCCUUAGGGUUGUAAAGCUCUUUCAGCGGGGAAGAUAAUGACGGUACCCGCAGAAGAAGCCCCGGCUAACUCCGUGCCAGCAGCCGCGGUAAUACGGAGGGGCUAGCGUUGUUCGGAAUUACUGGGCGUAAAGCGCGCGUAGCGGAUUGGAAAGUCAGAGGUGAAAUCCCGGGGCUCAACCCCGGAACUGCCUUUGAACUCCCAGU